RNAcentral lists this unclassified non-coding RNA (2085 nucleotides) under Centruroides sculpturatus (bark scorpion). Its description in RNAcentral is "homeobox protein Hox-B4-like, transcript variant X3". Lineage: Eukaryota; Metazoa; Arthropoda; Arachnida; Scorpiones; Buthidae. The record is from RNAcentral.
AUCCAUCAUUUUGACGUAUGCGCCCUGGGUCAAUACGCAGCCAACCGAUUGGCCGACGUUCAUCACGUGCUAUGCUAAUUUCCAGUGCUGGGCGGAGCGACGGUACAGUUAAACGACAACCCCAAAGAAAAAUUAUUUCCAUCCAAUUCACCCAGAAAUUAAUGAUCAUGAGUUCGUUUUUGAUGAACUCUCCGUCUUGUGUGGAUCCUAAGUUUCCACCAAGUGAGGAGUAUUCGCAAGGUAACUAUAUACCGACACACGGUGGUGACUAUUACGCUCCCCAACCGCAUCCUUACGUCUAUGCGGUCAACCCACCGCCGCCUCAUCCCGCUGUUACGUACGGACCUGUGGAAAACGGUGGAGGUCCGUGUUAUCCCGAUCACGGCGGCUCUCCCCUCUACUACCAGCAUUCCUGCAGCAUGACACCGAGUAUCGGAAGCCGGGUCGCAAGACCGACACCGGACCACGUUACGUCCAGCCACAGUCCCGUUACGAUCCUUCCUCCCGGUCCAACUCGCAGAUCGCCGGUAUCUUCGCCUCCACCGGGCGUCGUUGGGCUCAGCCGGGUCCAGCAAUCGCAGCAGCCACAGCAGAAUCAAGCCCAACAACCACCUCAACUUAGUCAACAGCCGUCACAACUCCAUCAAAGUGCAGCGAGUCAGCCCGAUACGGGAAAUCCCGACUGUGCCGUUUCUGGCGGUGGCCAGCCCGUCAUCUAUCCCUGGAUGAAGAAAGCCCACGUGGGUACAGCUGCAAAUGGAAACUUUACUGGAAUGGAACCUAAAAGACAGAGGACAGCGUACACUAGACAUCAAAUUUUAGAACUUGAAAAGGAAUUCCACUUCAACCGUUACCUGACGCGGAGGAGAAGAAUCGAAAUAGCUCAUUCCCUGUGUCUCAGUGAAAGGCAGAUAAAAAUAUGGUUUCAAAAUAGGAGAAUGAAAUGGAAAAAAGACAACAAAUUACCGAACACGAAAAAUGUUAAAAAGAAUCCAAAUAGAAAUCAGAAUUUAGCUGCUAUCAAUAAUCGUAAUCAACAGAAUCAACAGCGACAUCAAGCACCACCACAGGCCCAACAGCAACCUCCAUCUACAUUGCCGCCACCUCAUCAUCCACCAACACAUGAUCCAAAAGACGACUAUGGUCUUACAGAGCUAUGAUGUGUAUUACUCAACAUUCCAACUCAGUUACAAGUUCUCAGAAUGCGAAGUAUAUGGGACAUGGGAGGGGGCAUGAGUACCCUUCUCAACUCUCCCACAAAACUCCCGCCCCCUGCAAUAUAUCUUCGCAGUGUACUGUACUCAGGAGCAAAGUGCAGAAGCUGAAUAGUUUGUUGCUGUGCAUGUGACGCCGUCAGGAGAUUGUAGUCGCUAGAAUAUAACGCUAAGGGAUUUUACACGAUGAAUACCAGGCGGAACCACAGGACACAGUCGUAGCAAAGGCUCAGACUUUGCUGACUUAACUUUGGCUAAAAGAUCUAAAUUUCGAAAAUAAUAUUGAUUUCAAAUUGUUCUUUUGUAAAAAAUCUACGAGAAAAUUGUUUAUUUAAAAGAGGUUUGUAAUGUGGAGAAAAUGCAAAGCGGUCAGCAUAGAAGAACCUAAGAUUCUACCCUUGUCGUCCAAUAACUGCUCCUGGAGUAUAUGUGCUGUUUUCUCCGAUGUUUUCGAGUGCUUCAAGUGAUGCAGUUGAGAAUCCUCUGAGAAAAUAAAGACCAAUUCAUACAUUUAAAUGAAUUUUUUCCAGUUUUUGUCUACUAAAAACAACCAAUAGUUCAUCUUAUCUACGAUAAAUAAAGGAAGAAUGCAUUUAAAAAAAAGAAAAAAAAAAGCCAACCUCUGGAAGAAUCAACCAAGCAUGACUUACACGAUCCACCAGUCCUCCUUCUGGGAACUUGAGUUAUCUUACCCCUAGAGAUUUAGAGAGAAAGAAGAAUAGGGCCAAUGACAUGUCGACUGCUGUAGUUCUUUCUGCCAUAUCCCCAAAGGUUUUAUAACGAGUACAAAUAUGUUCAAGUUCUAGAAAUACAAUUUUCAAAGAUCAGCCAAUCAAUUUGAAAUAACCUAAGUUAUAUAUUCAGACGGAAC